CUGAAAACACCACUCAAUUUCUGCGGAUAUUCACUGAAAAAUUAAAUACAAACGUAUUCUUGUCUUUCGCUUUCAUCCCAAUUAUUUUUGUUUGUUUUUUCCUAGCAAACGUGUUGUCAAUAAGACAGUAAACUAUUUGGAUAAAAGGCACUCGAUUAUCUACCUAUAUUAUUAUUUGGGUGAUUGUAGAGACAUAUAUAACAAG
Cinara cedri is the source of this 205-nucleotide non-coding RNA. The record is from the annotation of a GenBank genome assembly. Lineage: Eukaryota; Metazoa; Arthropoda; Insecta; Hemiptera; Aphididae.